CCCCCAGGAAAUAUUUUUAAAGGAGUUAGACUAAACUGCCAGGUGCCUUUCUCCCUUGUUUAGAAUGUGAAUGUGAUGUCUGGAGCUUCAGAAGCCACAUUUGACUGUGAAUUCAAUUUGAGAUUGGCAGUCAUGGGCUCAGGAUGAUGGAACAGAAAGAGAAAGGGAGCCUGGUCUCUUCUCCCAGAGGAUGUUGUGAAGCUGCCUGAUCAGCCCCGGGCAGCCUGCGUUUGGGCUUCUUGUUACCAAAUCCAUGAUUACAUAUUAAGCCCUUAGUCUACCUAAGCCCCUGUCAGUUUGCUCUUUGUAGCAGCCACACACAACUCCUAACUGCUACCGGUUCCUUCUCACGAGCAGCAACUCUGAUUAACACUGAACGAGAUCCAGAAGAAAUUAGUAAACUGUUCUGCAGGAGCAGAGGGAUUCCGUGGAGCCCCGACCCGAACUGAAGAGCAGAGGCCAGAGGGGCAUGGGAACUUGCUGCCUCUCCCUGGCCUGUCUCUAGGAACUUUGUCG
Molecule: long non-coding RNA, 516 nt
Filed under: Marmota monax (woodchuck)
Lineage: Eukaryota; Metazoa; Chordata; Mammalia; Rodentia; Sciuridae
Source: RNAcentral